UGCACCUCUCCUACACCCCAUUUAAGGACUGACUGCCACUGAGGAAGGAUCUCUCCCUGGAGAUUGCUCCUUGGGGACUUUACUGUGAGUCUACAACACUGAAAUAAGCUUGGACCACAGGGAAACAGGGGCCAUCCAUUCUGCAUCAUGUGCUGUGCGACAUGGAGAUGCAGCUGGAGCUGUUGGGAAAUGACCUUGUCCACCUGAAGUUCAGCCAAUUAUUUUAGGUCGGACAGGAACUAGUCUGGGAUGCACGCUCCCCAGGUAACACCUAUUUUUGACAGUGCCAAAAGCAAGUGCACUUCUCCCCCUGUCACAUUUGUGCUCACGGUUCACAGCACUGAUGCAAACACAGUGACUGCAUCACAAGUGUCGUGUCAAAUCCUAGAAGCCUUUCUCAGGCUUAUUUCAGCAAUAUUUUUCUACCCCCAGCAGCAAUAACAGCUCUGCAUUACGAGAUGGAGACAUCAGUGUCACACGCUUCAUGUUUCAAAGUGAUGUCAGCACAUAUCCUACUAAUCUACCUGCCUCCUAUUACAGCUGAAAAGGUGACAUUUCCCAAUGGCUUAACAAGGAUUCUAUUAUUUUUAACACUUUAAAAUACACAGCCAAGCCUUAUACCGAGAUAUUUAGAUUGCUAAAAUAAUAAAUAAAUAAACCAAACUGCUUAUCUCACCUAAUACUCAAAGCUAAUUAGAGUGUGUACAAUUCUUCAGAGAUAAGGUAGAGGUUAUAUUUUAGAAACAGGCUAUUUUAAAUGCUUACAUAUAGAUUAUCAUCACUUCCUCUUGGCACUUAAUAUAAUAUUUGAUCUAAAUAUGCCUUGGUUUGCAGAGUACUGGAAGCACUUUGAUUAAGAAAUGACGCAUGGAAUUCAGAAAUAUACCAAUAAUACAAAGCAGAAGCAACCAAAAAGCUGUACAAAGAUUGCAAACAAUAUAUUUUUUUUAAGGACAGAGACUUUUUCACCAACAAAUGUAAAAAUCGCUUUCAGCAAUUCAGUGAAUUCAAGUCACCACCACCCUACAAAAAAAACACUAGAAGGCGGCAUAGGCUGAAACACGUGUCCAUAAUACGCUCAUCAGGUUCUUAUGGCUCACUGUAUCAGUUUCAAAGGUUUCUGUGGUAGUCAGCAAAACUACAAGGACAAUUCCCAAAGUAAAUUUACAGCAGCAGGGCACCAUCAGCAAUUAAACGCUUGCUUUGAUUAUGCUAUGAAAUUAUAUUGAAAGGCUUUAGCAGAAUUAGAGCAGAAUGUGCCACAGCAGAAGGUGAGGGAUAACGCACUUGAGAUGAUUAAUUCGGACUAUGAUAGGUUUGAAAACCCCUCAGAUUAAAAGAGAAAUCUAACAACUGCUGCCAGACAUUUUUAAAGGACUGUAUAUGCAAAUAUGUGUUUUACCAUCUUUAUGCAACAAAUGCAGCAACAUUAUCUAGUUCUUAAUGAGCUGAGUUCAUGAUUAAUAAUGGAAUACUGCCCUGCAUGUCUGCUGCAGUUGAAGAGAUUAGGGAUAUCACAUACACACUGUAGAUUCCCAGAGCAGGUCACCCUGAGAUCAUUCAGUCACUUAGAAAGAACAAAAAUGUUGAUUCUCUGUAAUUAUUCCCUUCUGGUAAGAGAGGAGCAUCUUCCAGUAAAGCAGAAAUCCCUGCACCCAAAUUAGAUCAUUUGGCUUUCCUCAGUGCCAACAGUGAGUCAUUCACUUGUACUCUCCAAAACGAAAGCUGUUGCAAUUUGCUACUGAUAAUACCGGUGAAUAUCUGGGUUUGGAUGCAGUGCCCACUUUUACUGUUUCAUCCUUCAAUCACUAUUUUAAAAAUAUUAGAGAGAUCACAAAAUAGUAACAGCUGGCCUAGCAGCCUAAGCUAAUUUACUGAGAGGGCUGUCUCUGGAUUCUUUGCCAGUAGGGAAGAAAAGGAGUCAUUUGCUAAACAAGGUGCUCUCUUUGCAGGAUCCAGUGUAAAGGGAACAGGACAUUUUCCCUUAAGCAAAACGAUAUUGCAGUUUCUUUGGAGAAAGCUCUGAGUAGAUAACUGUUGUUUCUUUGAAACAGAAAAGUGUGCAGAGUUUUCACAGCAUUACCAGCUGCUUUUUAAUUUAAGGCUCUUCCAUACACACUUGUUACAGCACGUUCAUUUGGGAGAGCAUACUUAGACUCAUAGAUUUGUUUCCUUAGACUUCUGCUGGAACAAGCCCACUAAAUGCGUGUCUUUGGUAAAGCGAAUUUUAGCCCGUGCAGGCAGGGGAAGUCCAAAAGCUCACGGGAACACCCUUUAUAACGCAUAUAACGCUUACGUGGCAUUGGAGCGACACCUGGCGGCAAGAAGCAGCAGUGCAAGUACAAAACAACAUUUUGCGCCAUUUUCUUCUUCACGAAAAACUGAGAGAAACGUGAAUGCAGACACUGCCACAAACCCUUGCAAUCUGCAGUA
Molecule: non-coding RNA, 2433 nt
Organism: Meleagris gallopavo (turkey)
Lineage: Eukaryota; Metazoa; Chordata; Aves; Galliformes; Phasianidae
Source: RefSeq, a predicted model, not a curated record